AUUGAACGCUGGCGGCAUGCCUUACACAUGCAAGUCGAACGGCAGCACGGGGCAACCUGGUGGCGAGUGGCGAACGGGUGAGUAAUGCAUCGGAACGUGCCAUUGAGUGGGGGAUAACGUAGCGAAAGUUGCGCUAAUACCGCAUAUUCUGUGAGCAGGAAAGCAGGGGGACCGCAAGGCCUUGCGCUCUUUGAGCGGCCGAUGUCAGAUUAGCUAGUUGGCGGGGUAAAGGCCUACCAAGGCGACGAUCCGUAGCGGGUCUGAGAGGAUGAUCCGCCACACUGGGACUGAGACACGGCCCAGACUCCUACGGGAGGCAGCAGUGGGGAAUUUUGGACAAUGGGCGCAAGCCUGAUCCAGCCAUGCCGCGUGAGUGAAGAAGGCCUUCGGGUUGUAAAGG
Molecule: ribosomal RNA, 400 nt
Filed under: uncultured bacterium
Lineage: Bacteria
Description: bacterial SSU rRNA
Rfam family: Bacterial small subunit ribosomal RNA
Source: RNAcentral